AGUGAACGCUGGCGGUAGGCCUAACACAUGCAAGUCGAACGGCAGCACAGUAAGAGCUUGCUCUUACGGGUGGCGAGUGGCGGACGGGUGAGGAAUACAUCGGAAUCUACUUUUUCGUGGGGGAUAACGUAGGGAAACUUACGCUAAUACCGCAUACGACCUACGGGUGAAAGCAGGGGAUCUUCGGACCUUGCGCGAUUGAAUGAGCCGAUGUCGGAUUAGCUAGUUGGCGGGGUAAAGGCCCACCAAGGCGACGAUCCGUCGCUGGUCUGAGAGGAAGAUCAGCCACGAUGGAACUGAGAAAGGGGACAGGCCCAGACGGGCGGCCGGGGGGGGGAAUAUUGGAAAAGGGGCGAAAGCCUGACCCAGCCAACCCGGGGGGGUGAAGAAGGCCUUCGGGUUGUAAAGCCUUUUUUUUGGGAAAAAAAAGAAGCAGGUUAAUCCCCCGCUGUUCUGACGGUACCCAAAGAAAAAGCACCGGCUAACUGCGU
RNAcentral lists this ribosomal RNA (491 nucleotides) under uncultured bacterium. RNAcentral's name for it is "partial 16S ribosomal RNA". It matches the Rfam family "Bacterial small subunit ribosomal RNA", at positions 29 to 506 of the family's 1533-position model. The record is from RNAcentral.